AUCAAGUAUCUCGACUCACCCCCCUCCCCCCACCCUUAUUCUGAAGGUAACUUUCAGCACCAGGUGAUUUCCUCCCCGCCAAACCUGCAGCCUACUUCGGUCGUGUCCUUAGGAAGGGUUCAGCCUGGCACGGAGUUGGCGGCGCGAGCCAAGAACACAGAAGCCCAAAGACGGGAAGCACGAAAAGGCUCCAGCCCCACCAGCCUAAAUGCUGUUUCUGAAAUGAGAACCCUUCGGCUCGUGGCUUCUCUACCUGAUGCACCAUCUGCCGGAAGCAUCUUCCCCCAGGUCUUCCUGCUACCUCCUCCUUCUUGUCAAGAAGAUGUUAACCUCAAGAUUGUUUUCCCCAGAAGCCUUCCAGGAUCCUGCAGCCUACGCUUCCUCAUCAAUCGUGUUUUUCUUUGUACAGUGUUCAUUCCUAUGCCAACUCUCUAGUUCUCUGUUCAUUACCUGUCUGUCCCUCUAGAAUGUAAGUUCUAUAGUCUUUUUCCUUUUUAUUCGCUGUUAUAUGAUUAGAACAUCCAGUGGUGCAUGAUAUUUAUUAAGGACUCAAGAAAUAUUUAUAAACAUCUGCUUAAUGAAAGUUUAUUAACAAAAAUCCCAUGCUCUUCCUCACAAUUUACUACUUCCCAGGACUGGCUGAGGCUAUUUCUCAUGAGUCACAUUCUAACGGUUGGGAAACCAUUUGGUUUGUGUUGUUCCAUCCAUAUUCCUUAACUUGUAUUUAUUACCCCACGAACAUAAGCAGACAAAAACAAACCAUGCCAACUACAUUGGCCAGUUAGUACAAUGCAAAGAUGAUGCUAUGCUCCCUUUAAAGAACAAUACUGUUGAAAGUGACAGCCUCAUCUUAAUAGCGCUUAAAUUCUAUUGUUUAGAUAAGCAGCCUCUCUGUGCAGUUUAACCCUAGAAUGCCAUUCUUCAAAGGUCUCAUUAAAAAAUGAAAAAGGUAUGGUCU
RNAcentral lists this long non-coding RNA (958 nucleotides) under Mustela putorius furo (domestic ferret). RNAcentral describes it as "lncRNA (ENSMPUG00000026589.1)". Lineage: Eukaryota; Metazoa; Chordata; Mammalia; Carnivora; Mustelidae. The record is from RNAcentral.